UCUAAUGUGGCAGAUAAAUGCAAUGAAUUUAAGCUUCAUUUAUAAAUUUAUAUAUUUCUUUAGAA
This 65-nucleotide transfer RNA is filed under the name Oxyethira ecornuta. RNAcentral describes it as "tRNA-Leu". The record is from RNAcentral. Lineage: Eukaryota; Metazoa; Arthropoda; Insecta; Trichoptera; Hydroptilidae.